Long non-coding RNA from Octopus bimaculoides (California two-spot octopus), 747 nucleotides. The record is from RefSeq and is a predicted model, not a curated record. NCBI's taxonomy places the organism in Eukaryota, Metazoa, Mollusca, Cephalopoda, Octopoda, Octopodidae.
AUAACUGUGUGCGUAUGGAUAUACAAAUACAUUUAUGUACGUAUGAAUGCAUUCAUUACUGUAAUGUUUCGUGAAAGCGAGUGGUUUAGUAGUUAGGCUAUUCGGCCCAUCAUCGUAAGGUCGUGAGUUCAAUUCCCGGCGGUGCGUUGUGCCCUUGAGCAAGACACUUUAUUUUACGCUGCUCCAGCCCACUCAGAUGUCAAAAAUGAGUAGUACCUUUAAUUCAAAAGACCAGUCUUAUCACACUCUGUGUGUCACGCUGAAUCUCCCUGAGAACUACGUUAAGGGUACACGUGUCUGUGGAGUGCUCAGCCACUUGCACGACAAAUCGACCCCAGAAUAAUAAUAAACAAAUCGACCUCAGAACUUAUUCUUUGUACGAGGAGGAGGAAAAGGAAGAUAAUCGAAAAAUCCUUAAAGAGUAGACAUACGAAGAGUCACUUAAUACACAGGAUUAGUCGAAACUGCUGCCGUAUUUCAAUAACAGGUCACAUACAGAUUAACAAGCUAUGGAAAAUCUGUAAGAUUAAUGUCCUGGAAUACAGAUCUGAAGAAAUACUGCUGUGCAUUAUUGCAUUGUUCAUAAGUCAUAGAAAAUUCCCCGUAGGUAUUAGCCUUGAUUGCAGAAUGACAUUGUCUAAUGUCGAUAUUUCUCGUCGUGUGAAAGGAAUCAACAUACGAGCGAAGGAAAAAUGUAUGUUUUGGUGCUGAUACUUUAUAUUUUAAUUUCUGAAAAUUAAAAAUGGA